UACGUAGGGUGCAAGCGUUAAUCGGAAUUACUGGGCGUAAAGCGUGCGCAGGCGGUUUUGUAAGUCUGACGUGAAAUCCCCGGGCUCAACCUGGGAAUUGCGUUGGAGACUGCAAGGCUGGAGUCUGGCAGAGGGGGGUAGAAUUCCACGUGUAGCGGUGAAAUGCGUAGAUAUCUGGAGGAACACCGGUGGCGAAGGCGGCAUCCUGGACCGGCAUUGACACUGAAAAGCGAAAGCCAGGGGAGCAAACGGG
This 253-nucleotide ribosomal RNA is filed under the name uncultured bacterium. RNAcentral describes it as "partial 16S ribosomal RNA". It matches the Rfam family "Bacterial small subunit ribosomal RNA", at positions 524 to 776 of the family's 1533-position model. The record is from RNAcentral.